CUCAACCAAAUAGUUGAAAUAUAAAUUACUCACCUAAUAUCUAAUAUAUAUAUAUAUAUAUUAAAAUGGAAGCUUCUUCUCAAGAGAGGCCUUCGUAUGACGUUUGGGCUCUUGGGAAAAAGGGGAGGCAGCCACGUGGAGCACUCCACAAAUAAACACUGUGCUCUGUGAAUGAACCCUAUGUGUCCCGACUCACCAAUAUGCUCAGA
This 209-nucleotide long non-coding RNA is filed under the name Elaeis guineensis (African oil palm). RNAcentral's name for it is "long non-coding RNA (EGUI_LNC036126)". Lineage: Eukaryota; Viridiplantae; Streptophyta; Magnoliopsida; Arecales; Arecaceae. The record is from RNAcentral.